GGAGACAGAGGUGCAUUGGAAAGUGUUUUAUUACAAGAAGUUCAGCAGGUAGAACACAGUUUGGCAGCCAAUCAGGAGCCUCCUGCACACAUGCCACGCCCCUGCAGCUGGACAUAAAACCACGACUAAAACCAGAACCAGACAAAUGAUGUCACCCUGACAACCCAGCAGCUCAUGUUACCAUAGCAACAGAACCUGUCAAACAACCUUCAGGACCUGUUCAUCAUCCAGAUCAGUGAGACAGGUGUCGUCCUCAGAUCAGUGAGACAGGUGUCGUCCUCAGUCCUCAGAUCAGUGAGACAGGUGUCGUCCUCAGUCCUCAGAUCAGUGAGACAGGUGUCGUCCUCAGAUCAGUGAGACAGGUGUCGUCCUCAGAUCAGUGAGACAGGUGUCGUCCUCAGAUCAGGGAGACAGGUGACGUCCUCAGAUCAGUGAGACAGGUGUCGUCCUCAGAUCAGUGAGACAGGUGUCGUCCUCAGAUCAGUGAGACAGGUGUCGUCCUCAGAUCAGUGAGACAGGUGUCAUCCACAGAUUAGUGAGACAGGUGUCAUCCUCAGAUCAGGGAGACAGGUGUCAUCCACAGAUCAGUGAGACAGGUGUUGUCCUCAGUCCUCAGAUCAGUGAGACAGGUGUCGUCCACAGAUCAGUGAGACAGGUGUCGUCCUCAGAUCAGGGAGACAGGUGUCGUCCACAGAUCAGUGAGACAGGUGUCAUCCACAGAUCAGGGAGACAGGUGUCGUCCACAGAUCAGUGAGACAGGUGUCGUCCACAGAUCAGUGAGACAGGUGUCGUCCUCAGAUCAGGGAGACAGGUGUCGUACUCAGUCCUCAGAUCAGUGAGACAGGUGUCGUCCUCAGAUCAGUGAGACAGGUGUCAUCCUCAGAUCAGUGAGACAGGUGUCUUCCACAGAUCAGUGAGACAGGUGUCGUCCACAGAUAAGUGAGACAGGUGUCGUCCUCAGUCCUCAGAUCAGUGAGACAGGUGUCAUCCACAGAUCAGUGAGACAGGUGUCGUCCACAGAUCAGUGAGACAGGUGUCGUCCACAGGUCAGUGAGACAGGUGUCGUCCACAGGUCAGUGAGACAGGUGUCGUCCACAGAUAAGUGAGACAGGUGUCGUCCACAGAUAAGUGAGACAGGUGUCGUCCUCAGAUCAGUGAGACAGGUGUCGUCCACAGAUCAGUGAGACAGGUGUUGUCCACAGAUAAGUGAGACAGGUGUCGUCCUCAGAUCAGUGAGACAGGUGUCUUCCACAGAUCAGUGAGACAGGUGUCGUCCACAGAUCAGUGAGACAGGUGUCGUCCACAGAUCAAUGAGAGAGGUGUCCUUCGGGAUGAAUAUCAAGUUGUUCAGAGUUUCUGCAGCAGAUUUUGAUCCAGACUGAAACCUGAACCUGGAACCGUUCCUUAAGCCCCUCAUGUCCAGACACAAAGAAAGCCAAAUAAAUAAACUAGUCUGUUAGUCU
Austrofundulus limnaeus is the source of this 1463-nucleotide long non-coding RNA. RefSeq lists it as uncharacterized. Lineage: Eukaryota; Metazoa; Chordata; Actinopteri; Cyprinodontiformes; Rivulidae. The record is from RefSeq and is a predicted model, not a curated record. The transcript has 3 exons.